This 75-nucleotide transfer RNA is filed under the name halophilic archaeon. It matches the Rfam family "tRNA". From Rfam's summary of the family: Transfer RNA (tRNA) molecules are approximately 80 nucleotides in length. Their secondary structure includes four short double-helical elements and three loops (D, anti-codon, and T loops). The record is from Rfam by way of RNAcentral. RNAcentral also lists the same sequence under 6 other names. Lineage: Archaea; Methanobacteriati; Methanobacteriota; Halobacteria; Halobacteriales.
GGGUCGGUAGUCUAGUCCGGUUAUGACAGCUCCUUCACACGGAGCAGGUCGGCGGUUCGAAUCCGCCCCGACCCA